RNAcentral lists this ribosomal RNA (497 nucleotides) under uncultured bacterium. RNAcentral's name for it is "partial 16S ribosomal RNA". It matches the Rfam family "Bacterial small subunit ribosomal RNA", at positions 28 to 507 of the family's 1533-position model. The record is from RNAcentral.
GAUGAACGCUGGCGGCGUGCCUAAUACAUGCAAGUCGAGCGAACAGACGAUGAUCUUGCUCCUCUGUCGUUAGCGGCGGACGGGUGAGUAACACGUGUAUAACCUACCUAUAAGACUGGGAUAACUUCGGGAAACCGGAGCUAAUACCGGAUAAUAUCUUGAACCGCAUGGUUCAAUAGUGAAAGACGGUUUUGCUGUCACUUAUAGAUGGAUCCGCGCCGCAUUAGCUAGUUGGUAAGGUAACGGCUUACCAAGGCAACGAUGCGUAGCCGACCUGAGAGAGGGGUAGGCCACACGGGAACGGAGACACGGUCCAGACUCCUACGGGAGGCAGCAGUAGGGAAUCUUACGCAAUGGGCGAGAGCCUGACGGAGCAACGCCGCGUGAGUGAUGAAGGUCUUCGGAUCGUAAAAAUCUGUUAUUAGGGAAGAACAAAUGUGUAAGUAACUAUGCACGUCUUGACGGUACCUAAUCAGAAAGCCACGGCUAACUACGUG